This 207-nucleotide long non-coding RNA is filed under the name Prunus persica (peach). RNAcentral describes it as "long non-coding RNA (PPER_LNC000176)". Lineage: Eukaryota; Viridiplantae; Streptophyta; Magnoliopsida; Rosales; Rosaceae. The record is from RNAcentral.
CCACAUAUUUACAGGGACCUUGGUGAUUAGGGUUUCAGAAGAAUAAUCCCUCACAUGUAAAGGAAUUAUUUUUCCCUAAUCUGGAGAGAUUGAAUCAAUUGGGGAUUUGAUUCCCAAUCAUGGCAAGAAUCCCCAAUUUAAUCAAAUAAUCCCAAAAUUGAUGGGAUUAAUUAUUUGACAUAGGAUUUUCAAAUAUUUGCUUCCACA